This 232-nucleotide ribosomal RNA is filed under the name uncultured bacterium. Its description in RNAcentral is "partial 16S ribosomal RNA". It matches the Rfam family "Bacterial small subunit ribosomal RNA", at positions 100 to 334 of the family's 1533-position model. The record is from RNAcentral.
CGGGACGGGUGAGUAAUGCUUGGGAAUCUAGCUUAUGGAGGGGGAUAACUACGGGAAACUGUAGCUAAUACCGCGUAAUAUCGAAAGAUUAAAGUGUGGGACCUCGGGCCACAUGCCAUAGGAUGAGCCCAAGUGGGAUUAGGUAGUUGGUGAGGUAAAGGCUCACCAAGCCGACGAUCUCUAGCUGGUCUGAGAGGAUGACCAGCCACACUGGGACUGAGACACGGCCCAG